Molecule: ribosomal RNA, 450 nt
Filed under: uncultured bacterium
Lineage: Bacteria
Description: bacterial SSU rRNA
Rfam family: Bacterial small subunit ribosomal RNA
Source: RNAcentral
AACGAACGCUGGCGGCAGGCCUCAAACAUGCAAGUCUAGGGGGUGUAGCAAUACAUCACCGGCGGACGGGUGCGUAACGCGUGGGAAUAUACCUAUUGGUUCGGAACAACACAGGGAAACUUGUGCUAAUACCGAAUGUGCCCUUACGGGGAAAGAUUUAUCGCCAAUGGAUUAGCCCGCGUCCGAUUAGCUAGUUGGUGAGGUAACGGCUCACCAAGGCUCCGAUCGGUAGCUGUUCUGAGAGGAAGAUCAGCCACACUGGGACUGAGACACGGCCCAGACUCCUACGGGAGGCAGCAGUUGGGAAUAUUGGACAAUGGGCGAAAGCCUGAUCCAGCAAUGCCGCGUGGAUGAAGAAGGUCUUCGGAUUGUAAAGUCCUUUCGACGGGGACGAUGAUGAGGUACCCGUAGAAGAAGCCCCGGCUAACUCGUGCCAGCAGCCGCGGUAAU